AGCAGCCGCGGUAAUUCCAGCUCCAAUAGCGUAUAUUAAAGUUGUUGCAGUUAAAAAGCUCGUAGUUGAAUUUCGGGGUUAGUAGGUUGGUCGUGCCACUGGUACGUACUGGUCUCACUGAUUCCUCCUUCCUGAUGAACUGUAAUGCCAUUAAUUUGGUGUUGCAGGGAAACUGGACUGUUACUUUGAAAAAAUUAGAGUGUUUAAAGCAAGCUAACGCUUGAAUACAUUAGCAUGGAAUAAUGAAAUAGGACGUUCGAUCCUAUUUUGUUGGUUUCUAGGAUUAACGUAAUGAUUAAUAGGGAUAGUUGGGGGCAUUAGUAUUCAAUUGUCAGAGGUGAAAUUCUUGGAUUUAUUGAAGACUAACUACUGCGAAAGCAUUUGCCAAGGAUGUUUUCAUUAAUCAAGAACGAAAGUUAGGGGAUCGAAGACGAUCAGAUACCGUCGUAGUCUUAACCAUAAACUAUGCCGACUAGGGAUCGGAUGAUGUUAAUUUUUUAAUGACUCAUUCGGCGCCUUA
RNAcentral lists this ribosomal RNA (520 nucleotides) under uncultured Glomus. Its description in RNAcentral is "SSU rRNA". It matches the Rfam family "Eukaryotic small subunit ribosomal RNA", at positions 569 to 1090 of the family's 1831-position model. The record is from RNAcentral. Lineage: Eukaryota; Fungi; Glomeromycota; Glomeromycetes; Glomerales; Glomeraceae.